Molecule: long non-coding RNA, 409 nt
Filed under: Neogale vison (American mink)
Lineage: Eukaryota; Metazoa; Chordata; Mammalia; Carnivora; Mustelidae
Description: Neovison vison (American mink) lncRNA (ENSNVIG00000004905.1)
Source: RNAcentral
UGCAGGCUCUUCAGACAGGAGAAUGACUCAUCCAGGUGGCCUCCAAUCGAGCAAGAGGGAAAUAUGUGAGUGGUUGAAAACACUUUGGAAAACCAGGAGAACAUGGAAGGAUAUCCAGCUGAAGAAAAACAGCCCAACAUGCAUCCCUGUGGUUUUCUUCCCUCUGUGUUCAGCUCUCCAGGUUAUGCUGGUGUAUUUGGCCUUGGCGUGUGCAAGUGGCAUUGGAGUCCCGGGCUCUGAACACACAAAGAGUGAGUUCGACGCUCUCCCAGAGCUCUUUCUCCUACAAAAGGAGGUAUACAAUAAGGGCUUGAUCCCCAGCAAACACUUGGCAGUCCAAACCCCACCACCCCUCACCUUCCAGAAAACUCCACCUACACACAAGCAGGAAAGGAUGGUGAGUGCCAAG